Gorilla gorilla gorilla (western lowland gorilla) is the source of this 604-nucleotide long non-coding RNA. RefSeq lists it as uncharacterized. Lineage: Eukaryota; Metazoa; Chordata; Mammalia; Primates; Hominidae. The record is from RefSeq and is a predicted model, not a curated record. The transcript is spliced from 3 exons.
UUCCUGCUUUGCCGUGGUAACUAAGUCUUUUCUGCGUGCCCCUGCGGGCGUAGGGCUGGGGCUGGCCCGCGUCAGUGUGUUUGAAAAGCUAGUGCUGAACAUUUUGCAAGUGCUUCAUGAAUAUUUAUUGCAUGAAUAGUUGAACGUGGCCUUGUGGAACUGGAAUGCAGAGCUCAUGAAGGAGAACAGCAGAAGAUAAUGGUGAAAGGAAGGCAACUGGCACAUUGUGAGCUGCCCUAUGGAGUGGAUUACAUGGCAAGGAACUGAGGGAGACCUCUGGGCAACAUCCAUUAAAGAACUGAGGCCCUUAGUCCAACAACCUGGAGGAAGUGAAACCUCCAGCAACCUGUGACUGACUCUGGCAAAUUCUCCUCCAUCAACACUUGAGGUAUGACUGCAGCCCCAGCCAACAUCCCGACUGCAACAGGAGGGACCUUGAGCCACAGGCACCCAGUUAAAUUGCACCCACAUUGCUGACCCACAGAAACUGUGUGAUAAAUAUUUGUUUUAAGCCACUAAGUUUUGGGGUAAUUUGUUACGGCAAUAAAUAACUAAUAUAUCUACCUACUCACAUAAUUUUGAAAAUAACAUAAUAUCCUAACAG